Molecule: ribosomal RNA, 790 nt
Filed under: Limosilactobacillus fermentum
Lineage: Bacteria; Bacillati; Bacillota; Bacilli; Lactobacillales; Lactobacillaceae
Description: bacterial SSU rRNA
Rfam family: Bacterial small subunit ribosomal RNA
Source: RNAcentral
UCCCUUUAGUUUGAUUCCUGGCUCAGGAUGAACGCCGGCGGUGUGCCUAAUACAUGCAAGUCGAACGCGUUGGCCCAAUUGAUUGAUGGUGCUUGCACCUGAUUGAUUUUGGUCGCCAACGAGUGGCGGACGGGUGAGUAACACGUAGGUAACCUGCCCAGAAGCGGGGGACAACAUUUGGAAACAGAUGCUAAUACCGCAUAACAGCGUUGUUCGCAUGAACAACGCUUAAAAGAUGGCUUCUCGCUAUCACUUCUGGAUGGACCUGCGGUGCAUUAGCUUGUUGGUGGGGUAACGGCCUACCAAGGCGAUGAUGCAUAGCCGAGUUGAGAGACUGAUCGGCCACAAUGGGACUGAGACACGGCCCAUACUCCUACGGGAGGCAGCAGUAGGGAAUCUUCCACAAUGGGCGCAAGCCUGAUGGAGCAACACCGCGUGAGUGAAGAAGGGUUUCGGCUCGUAAAGCUCUGUUGUUAAAGAAGAACACGUAUGAGAGUAACUGUUCAUACGUUGACGGUAUUUAACCAGAAAGUCACGGCUAACUACGUGCCAGCAGCCGCGGUAAUACGUAGGUGGCAAGCGUUAUCCGGAUUUAUUGGGCGUAAAGAGAGUGCAGGCGGUUUUCUAAGUCUGAUGUGAAAGCCUUCGGCUUAACCGGAGAAGUGCAUCGGAAACUGGAUAACUUGAGUGCAGAAGAGGGUAGUGGAACUCCAUGUGUAGCGGUGGAAUGCGUAGAUAUAUGGAAGAACACCAGUGGCGAAGGCGGCUACCUGGUCUGCAACUGACGCUG